CUACUCCUACGGGAGGCAGCAGUAGGGAAUCUUCCGCAAUGGACGAAAGUCUGACGGAGCAACGCCGCGUGAGUGAUGAAGGCUUUCGGGUCGUAAAACUCUGUUGUUAGGGAAGAACAAGUACGAGAGUAACUGCUCGUACCUUGACGGUACCUAACCAGAAAGCCACGGCUAACUACGUGCCAGCAGCCGCGGUAAUACGUAGGUGGCAAGCGUUAUCCGGAAUUAUUGGGCGUAAAGCGCGCGCAGGCGGUUUCUUAAGUCUGAUGUGAAAGCCCACGGCUCAACCGUGGAGGGUCAUUGGAAACUGGGGAACUUGAGUGCAGAAGAGAAAAGCGGAAUUCCACGUGUAGCGGUGAAAUGCGUAGAGAUGUGGAGGAACACCAGUGGCGAAGGCGGCUUUUUGGUCUGUAACUGACGCUGAGCGCGAGCUUUUUUUAACAAGGAAA
Molecule: ribosomal RNA, 449 nt
Filed under: Bacillus sp. (in: firmicutes)
Lineage: Bacteria; Bacillati; Bacillota; Bacilli; Caryophanales; Bacillaceae
Description: bacterial SSU rRNA
Rfam family: Bacterial small subunit ribosomal RNA
Source: RNAcentral